GCAGGCUGCAACUCGCCUGCAUGAAGUCGGAAUUGCUAGUAAUCGCGGAUCAGCAUGCCGCGGUGAAUACGUUCUCGGGCCUUGUACACACCGCCCGUCACACCAUGGGAGUCGGUAACACCCGAAGUCUGUAGCCUGACGCAAGAGGGCGCAGCCGAAGGUGGGAUUGAUGACUGGGGUGAAGUCGUAACAAGGUAUC
This 199-nucleotide ribosomal RNA is filed under the name uncultured bacterium. RNAcentral's name for it is "partial 16S ribosomal RNA". It matches the Rfam family "Bacterial small subunit ribosomal RNA", at positions 1300 to 1500 of the family's 1533-position model. The record is from RNAcentral.